This 491-nucleotide ribosomal RNA is filed under the name uncultured bacterium. Its description in RNAcentral is "partial 16S ribosomal RNA". It matches the Rfam family "Bacterial small subunit ribosomal RNA", at positions 29 to 507 of the family's 1533-position model. The record is from RNAcentral.
AGUGAACGCUGGCGGUAGGCCUAACACAUGCAAGUCGAACGGCAGCACAGUAAGAGCUUGCUCUUACGGGUGGCGAGUGGCGGACGGGUGAGGAAUACAUCGGAAUCUACUUUUUCGUGGGGGAUAACGUAGGGAAACUUACGCUAAUACCGCAUACGACCUACGGGUGAAAGCAGGGGAUCUUCGGACCUUGCGCGAUUGAAUGAGCCGAUGUCGGAUUAGCUAGUUGGCGGGGUAAAGGCCCACCAAGGCGACGAUCCGUAGCUGGUCUGAGAGGAUGAUCAGCCACACUGGAGAUGAGACACGGUCCAGACUCCUACGGGAGGCAGCAGUGGGGAAUAUUGGACAAGGGGCGCAAGCCUGAUCCAGCCAUACCGCGUGGGUGAAGAAGGCCUUCGGGUUGUAAAGCCCUUUUGUUGGGAAAGAAAGCAGCAGGUUAAUACCCCGCUGUUCUGACGGUACCCAAAGAAUAAGCACCGGCUAACUUCGUG